GGGCUACACACGUGCUACAAUGGCAUCUACAGUGGGUUAAUCCCCAAAAGAUGUCUCAGUUCGGAUUGUUCUCUGCAACUCGAGAGCAUGAAGUCGGAAUCGCUAGUAAUCGCGUAUCAGCAAUGACGCGGUGAAUACGUUCCCGGACCUUGUACACACCGCCCGUCAAGCCAUGGGAGUUGGGUAUGCCUGAAGAUGGUUGUUGAA
RNAcentral lists this ribosomal RNA (207 nucleotides) under Alexandrium margalefii. RNAcentral describes it as "partial Bacterial small subunit ribosomal RNA". It matches the Rfam family "Bacterial small subunit ribosomal RNA", at positions 1211 to 1438 of the family's 1533-position model. Lineage: Eukaryota; Dinophyceae; Gonyaulacales; Pyrocystaceae. The record is from RNAcentral.